RNAcentral lists this ribosomal RNA (1957 nucleotides) under human gut metagenome. Its description in RNAcentral is "bacterial LSU rRNA". It matches the Rfam family "Bacterial large subunit ribosomal RNA", at positions 3 to 1977 of the family's 2925-position model. The record is from RNAcentral.
UCAAGCUACUAAGGGCAUACGGUGAAUGCCUUGGCACUAAGAGCCGAUGAAGGACGUGGUAAGCUGCGAAAAGCUACGGGGAGCCGCAAGCAGGCUUUGAUCCGUAGAUGUCCGAAUGGGGGAACCCACCAUCCGUCAUGGGAUGGUAUCCUUCGGGAAGGGAACCCGGUGAACUGAAACAUCUAAGUAGCCGGAGGAAGAGAAAUCAAACGAGAUGCCCACAGUAGCGGCGAGCGAAGAGGGCAGAGCCUAAACCAGAGAGCUUCGGCUCCCUGGGGUUACGGACUGGCAUAAACCGAGUCAGGCCUAGCUGAAUCACCUGGAAAGGUGAGCCACAGACCGUGAGAGCCGGGUAGGCGAAAGGCAGAGCAAGGGGGCCAGUAUCCAGAGUACCGCGAAGCACGAGGAAUUUUGCGGGAAGUCGGGGGGACCACCCUCCAAGGCUAAACACUUCUUAGUGACCGAUAGCGCAUAGUACCGUGAGGGAAAGGUGAAAAGAACCGCGGGAGCGGAGUGAAAGAGAACCUGAAACCGUAUGUCUACAAGCAGUCGGAGCGUAAGCGACGGCGUGCCUAUUGAAGAAUGAGCCAACGAGUUACGGGCACCAGCGAGGUUAAGCAGAAAAUGCGGAGCCGUAGGGAAACCGAGUCUGAAAAGGGCGGAUAGUUGGUGUUCGUAGACCCGAAACUGUAGUGAUCUACCCAUGAUCAGGUUGAAGCACGGGUAAAAUCGUGUGGAGGACCGAACCGGUGAGUGUUGAAAAACUUUCGGAUGAAUCGUGGGUAGCGGUGAAAUUCCAAUCGAACGCAGAGAUAGCUGGUUCUCCUCGAAAUAGCUUUAGGGCUAGCCUCAGGCAGUAAGCAUAGGCGGUAGAGCACUGAUCGGGAUAGGGACUGUAAUGGUUACCGAACCCUGUCAAACUACGAAUGGUUAUGCUGCAGAGCCUGGGAGUCAGACUACGAGAGAUAAGUCCCGUUGUCAAAAGGGAAACAGCCCAGACCAUCAGCUAAGGUCCCCAAUGCCAUACUAAGUGGAAAAGGAUGUGGGGUCUCAUAAACAACCAGGAUGUUGGCUCAGAAGCAGCCACCAUUUAAAGAGUGCGUAAUAGCUCACUGGUCGAGAGGCCCUGCGCCGAAGAUUCCCGGGGCUAAAGUAUGGAACCGAAGCUAUGGAUGCAUACGUAGGUAUGCGUGGUAGAGGAGCGUUCCCAUCGGGUUGAAGUCGUCCUGGAAGGGACGGUGGACUGGUGGGAAGUGAGAAUGUUGGCAUGAGUAGCGAAAAGAAUGGUGAGAAUCCAUUCCACCGAAAGCAUAAGGAUUCCUGAGCAACGAUCGUCGUCUCAGGGUAAGUCGGGACCUAAUCCGAGGCAAAGAGCGUAGGAGAUGGACAACUGGUUGAUAUUCCAGUACCGGCAGUGAUCGUUUGAACGAAGGAGUGACGCAGGAAGGCAGGUCCGCACGAGAUUGGUAGAUCGUGUGCAAGCGUGCAGGCUGGUUACCAGGCAAAUCCGGUAACUGAGGCUGAGGCGUGAUGCGGAGGGAACUUGUUCCCGAAGGGAUUGAGCCUACGCUGCCGAGAAAAGCUUCUAGUGAGAAAGCUGCCGCCCGUACCGUAAACCGACACAGGUAUGCGGGGAGAGAAUCCUAAGGUGCGCGGGAAAACCCUCGUUAAGGAACUCGGCAAAAUGUACCCGUAACUUCGGGAUAAGGGUAGCCACAAAGGUGAAGGGACUAGCUCCCGGAGCCCGGUGUGGUCGCAGAGAAGAGGCCCAAGCGACUGUUAACCAGAAACACAGGUGCCUGCGAAAGAGAAAUCUGAAGUAUAGGUGCUGACACCUGCCCAGUGCUGGAAGGUUAAAGAAGGAUGUCCGGGUUCGACCCAAAGCAUUCGACUGAAGCCCCAGUGAACGGCGGCCGUAACUAUAACGGUCCUAAGGUAGCGAAAUUCCUUGUCGGGU